UACGAAGGGGGCUAGCGUUGCUCGGAAUGACUGGGCGUAAAGGGCGCGUAGGCGGUUUGUACAGUCAGAUGUGAAAUUCCCGGGCUUAACCUGGGGGCUGCAUUUGAUACGUGCAGACUUGAGUGAGGAAGAGGGUUGUGGAAUUCCCAGUGUAGAGGUGAAAUUCGUAGAUAUUGGGAAGAACACCGGUGGCGAAGGCGGCAACCUGGUCCUUGACUGACGCUGAGGCGCGAAAGCGUGGGGAGCAAAC
RNAcentral lists this ribosomal RNA (250 nucleotides) under uncultured bacterium. RNAcentral describes it as "partial 16S ribosomal RNA". It matches the Rfam family "Bacterial small subunit ribosomal RNA", at positions 524 to 773 of the family's 1533-position model. The record is from RNAcentral.